This is a non-coding RNA of Hydra vulgaris (swiftwater hydra), 334 nucleotides long. Lineage: Eukaryota; Metazoa; Cnidaria; Hydrozoa; Anthoathecata; Hydridae. The record is from RefSeq and is a predicted model, not a curated record.
UUUGAAAAACUUAUUUCGUGAGAAACAUUGGUACAAACUAUCGGAGUAGAAAUUUAUUAUAAUUGAUUGAUUUAAAUAAUGAUGGUAGGGAUUGAAAUACCGAAAUGUAAAAGCAUUGAUUGACGAAUUUGAGUUGAAUGAUAGAAAUAUUGGGAAACGAUCAGUUAUAUCUGUUUUCAACAUACCUUUUUGUAUAUUGUUAUUGAAGAUAUCAGUUGUAAUAGUGUUAUCAAUGAAAGUUGCUGAGUUUGCUGAUACUUUAGUUGGACGAUUAAUUAGGGGAAUUGCUCCUAUUUCAAAUAUUGAAUCAUAAAUUUUUUUUAUUUUACAGUCA